Myotis daubentonii (Daubenton's bat) is the source of this 1412-nucleotide long non-coding RNA. RefSeq lists it as uncharacterized. The transcript has 3 exons. Lineage: Eukaryota; Metazoa; Chordata; Mammalia; Chiroptera; Vespertilionidae. The record is from RefSeq and is a predicted model, not a curated record.
UUCCUGCCAGCGGCUCCCGGCGGCCAUGCGGAUGAGGUCACUCGGGGCUACUGUCCUUCCGGGGGCGGCACCCAGGCCCGCAGAGUCCGCCUGAGAGUGUGGACCAAAUCGGGGCUCUCUGAAGCCCAGAUUUAGGGGAGGACAGGGUGGUGUGGGAGGCAGGCAUGGGGGCGUUAGGGGGGCCUCCAAGACACUUCUCCUGAGCGUGGAGGCAGAAUUUCUCCUGCCCAGUUUGGAUCCUUAUCGAAAGCCCCACAUGAGACUAGCAGUGAACCAGGACCGCUCACCGAGUUUCUCAGAGCACCCCCAUAUGGCAGGCAUUAUCGGCUUACACUAUAGACGACCCCUGUGAAAGGAUCCUUCUACCCCCAAAGGGGUCUUGACCCACAGGUUGAGAACCACUGCCAUAGGGUCUUAAAGCAGAAAAGUGAAAGGAUCUGGAAUUAUCCAGCCGAAGAGGAUGGCACAGAAAGCAAACCAACAUUUGAUGGUGCAGGACUCAGAAGGUGACCAGCAGUGUUCUGUUCUAAGGGUGGCCCUUUCCACAUUUCUACUCAUGGCUGUGACCCUGGGCAGGUCCUGGCGGAAACAGCAGGAUAGAGAUGGUGCACGGGAGCCAGAAUCCAGGACAGGCCCACGGUUUUUCCCAGGCCUCCCUCCGAUUCCAGGUAGAACUGGAGACGGGUCUGUCAACCUGGGGGGAUGCCGGUCUUGCUGGGACUCUUGGAGACAUAUCCCCCACCUCCUUCCCGGGCAAUAUCUUUGUGCUGAGCUGACAAAACCAGGGUCCUGGGCUCCUCAGGACAUUGGGGGGAUAUGUUCCUGCUUGUCUGGAGCUGCAGUAGAGAAGCUGGCUCAGAGAUCUGACUCCAGGGACCAAAGGACCUGCCAGCCUCAAAUAGAAAUGGCUUUUAACUUCCUUUGGAUAUUUUCUUUACAGUAUUGUAACAUGUCCAGAUUGAGGCUACCCUCAGGGUUUUCAUGGCUUAAUUGGGGCCAUUAACUAAGACUGAUGCAAUUCUUUCUUUCCAGGGCUCUUAACUGAGAUUGCGAGAGCCAAGUGGACCGCUGUAAAGGCGGAGAUGAUUGCAUGAAAGUCGCUUUAUGGCUCUGGUCUCAGCUCUUCUGGAGCCAGGCGUGGCCCCUGAGGAGGCUGGGGUGGGGGGUAGGGGGGGCAAGCUUUCGCCUGAGUCCCUGUAACCUAGGUUGGCUGGUACCUCUUCUAGGCCACAAGAUUAGUUUGCAAACCCACAUCACCUUCUUCCCUGUGGAUUAGAUGUGUAGCAAGACAUGUAACCUCAUUUCUGUCUGGUGAGACCCUUCUUCACUUUAACAGAAGACCAGUCUUUAAGGUACCACCCUUUCUCACCUACGUGAGAUGAACAAGAUUUUAGAGAUUUAUCAGAAGAGAC